Molecule: long non-coding RNA, 346 nt
Organism: Cucurbita moschata (crookneck pumpkin)
Lineage: Eukaryota; Viridiplantae; Streptophyta; Magnoliopsida; Cucurbitales; Cucurbitaceae
Exons: 2
Source: RefSeq, a predicted model, not a curated record
AAACUUNAACCAAUACAAUCUACGAGACGCAAUUGCACGGUGUACCACUCAGGUGUAUCCGAAGUCAUGGACUGCAAUAUAUGUGGCGCUGGACAACGUGGGAAUGUGGAAUUUAAGGUCGGAAUUCUGGGCAAGGCAGUACCUGGGUCAACAGUUUUACUUGAGAGUUUACACGCCAUCGACUUCAUUGAGAGACGAGUACCCAAUUCCAAAGAAUGCUCUGCUCUGUGGAAGAGCCACUGGGAGACGAACCAGGCCACUCUAGGCUCUAUCCUCUGAGCUCAACACAAUCAAAUGAUUUGUCAUGUCGUAUCAUAUCAUAUUUAGUUCUUCUGGGAAGGAUAUU